This is a long non-coding RNA of Alligator mississippiensis (American alligator), 490 nucleotides long. RefSeq lists it as uncharacterized. The record is from RefSeq and is a predicted model, not a curated record. NCBI's taxonomy places the organism in Eukaryota, Metazoa, Chordata, Crocodylia, Alligatoridae. The transcript has 2 exons.
UAAAGAGGUCAGCAGCUGAAGGGGAAGCAGUGCCCUUGAGAGCUCCAGGAAGAAGGCUGGGGAGCGGUCCAUGGCAGGAAGGGGGAAGCUACAGAAGCCCCUGCAAGAUGGUGACUGCAUCCACAACCAGGACUGUAGCUGGCGGUGUGGAGCUGAGACUCGAAGAGAGUUCAUGUAAGCUGACCUGGGAAAUGAGCAUCAUCAACAGUUCUGGCCCAUCUCAACUCCUCUCCUCCUCUUCUCACUUGGCUGCUUCUUCCCUCCCCAAGAAAAGACAAGUGAUCCUGCCUUCAAAUACCAUCAAGAAGACUGCCAUACAAGAGAGGAGGGUGACAAGGGGUUCUUCAUAAAAACUCUCUGAAGCUAAAGGGCAGGGAACUCUUGUUAAAUCUAGUUUGUUAAGAAGAAAAAGGUUUACUUAAUACUUUGCUCUUCAAAUACUGUAACUACAUUUUCUUCCUUCUGCAUCAUUAAUAAAAGGCUAUAAAUA